CCAACCACGAUUUCUUAGAGUUUGUGUGGCAUACAUGGCUGGUUCUUUUUGCGGUUGUGUUAGGCCCAACCACGAUUUCUAAGAGUUUGUGUGGCAGACAUGGCUGGUUCUUUUUGGUGCGCAGUUUAUGAGACAGGCUUCCUUGUGCUGCUACUCUUAGUAGUGGGGUAUUCUUGGUUCUGUUUUUCUUGAUUUUGGUUGUGUUUUGUUUUGUUGAUUUGCUUACUAGUUACACUUGAGGAUGAA
This 246-nucleotide long non-coding RNA is filed under the name Medicago truncatula (barrel medic). Its description in RNAcentral is "long non-coding RNA (MTRU_LNC006900)". The record is from RNAcentral. Lineage: Eukaryota; Viridiplantae; Streptophyta; Magnoliopsida; Fabales; Fabaceae.